ACGGAAGGCAGCAGUCGGGAAUAUUGCGCAAUGGAGGAAACUCUGACGCAGUGACGCCGCGUGCAGGAAGAAGGUUUUCGGAUUGUAAACUGCUUUAGACAGGGAAGAAACAAGACAGUACCUGUAGAAUAAGCUCCGGCUAACUACGUGCCAGCAGCCGCGGUAAUACGUAGGGAGCAAGCGUUAUCCGGAUUUAUUGGGUGUAAAGGGUGCGUAGACGGAGUAGCAAGUUGGUUAUGAAAUCCCUCGGCUUAACUGAGGAACUGCAACCAAAACUACUACCCUUGAGUGCUGGAGAGGAAAGUGGAAUUCCUAGUAUAGCGGUGAAAUGCGUAGAUAUUAGGAGGAACACCAGUGGCGAAGGCGACUUUCUGGACAGUAACUGACGUUGAGGCACGAAAGCGUGGGUAGCAAACAGGAUUAGAUACCCUGGUA
This 435-nucleotide ribosomal RNA is filed under the name uncultured Oscillospiraceae bacterium. RNAcentral describes it as "bacterial SSU rRNA". It matches the Rfam family "Bacterial small subunit ribosomal RNA", at positions 341 to 792 of the family's 1533-position model. Lineage: Bacteria; Bacillati; Bacillota; Clostridia; Eubacteriales; Oscillospiraceae. The record is from RNAcentral.